Molecule: ribosomal RNA, 253 nt
Filed under: uncultured bacterium
Lineage: Bacteria
Description: partial 16S ribosomal RNA
Rfam family: Bacterial small subunit ribosomal RNA
Source: RNAcentral
GACAGAGGUGCCGAGCGUUAGGCGGGAUCACUGGGCUUAAAGCGUGUGUAGGCGGAUCGUUAAGUACCUUGUGAAAUCCCACGGCUCAACCGUGGAACUGCUGGGUAUACUGGCGGUCUUGAGCCACCUAGGGGCGAGCGGAACAAGCGGUGGAGCGGUGAAAUGCGUAGAUAUCGCUUGGAACGCCAACGGUGAAAACAGCUCGCUGGGGGUGUGCUGACGCUGAGACACGAAAGCCAGGGGAGCGAACGGG